GAUGAAGAACGUAGCGAAAUGCGAUAAGUAAUGCGAAUUGCAGAAUUCCAGUGAGUCAUCGAAUCUUUGAACGCACAUUGCGCCCGCCAGUAUUCUGGCGGGCAUGCCUGUCCGAGCGUCAUUUCAACCCUCGAACCCCUCCGGGGGGUCGGCGUUGGGGAUCGGCCCUUUCACCGGGUGCCGGCCCCUAAAUACAGUGGCGGUCUCGCCGCAGCCUCUCAUGCGCAGUAGUUUGCACACUCGCACCGGGAGCGCGGCGCGUCCUCGUCCGUAAAACACCCCAAACUUCUGAAAUGUUGACCUCGGAUCAGGUAGGAAUACCCGCUGAACUUAAGCAUAUCAAUAAGCGGAGGA
This 354-nucleotide unclassified non-coding RNA is filed under the name soil metagenome. Its description in RNAcentral is "partial contains 5.8S ribosomal RNA, internal transcribed spacer 2, and large subunit ribosomal RNA". The stretch from base 1 to 121 matches the Rfam family "5.8S ribosomal RNA", at positions 35 to 154 of the family's 154-position model. The record is from RNAcentral.